RNAcentral lists this ribosomal RNA (468 nucleotides) under uncultured bacterium. RNAcentral's name for it is "partial 16S ribosomal RNA". It matches the Rfam family "Bacterial small subunit ribosomal RNA", at positions 28 to 507 of the family's 1533-position model. The record is from RNAcentral.
GACGAACGCUGGCGGCGUGCUUAACACAUGCAAGUCGAACGGAAAGGCCCUGCUUUUGUGGGGUGCUCGAGUGGCGAACGGGUGUGUAACACGUGAGUAACCUGCCCUUGACUUUGGGAUAACUUCAGGAAACUGGUGCUAAUACCGGCUAGGAGCUCCUGCUGCAUGGUGGGGGUUGGAACGUUUCGGCGGUUGGGGAUGGACUCGCGGCUUAUCAGUUUGUGGGGGGGGGAGUGGCUUACCAAGGCUUUGACGGGUGGGCGGCAUGAGAGGGUGGCCGGCCACAUUGGGACUGAGAGACGGCGCAGACUCCUACGGGGGGCAGCAGUGGAGAAUAUUACACAAUGGUGGGAAGCCUGAUGCGGCAGCGCCGCGUGCGGGAUGACGGCCUUCGGGGUGUAAAGCGCAUUCGCCUGUGACGAAGCGUGAGUGACGGUAAUGGGUGAAGAAGCACCGGCUAACUACGUG